RNAcentral lists this ribosomal RNA (734 nucleotides) under uncultured bacterium. Its description in RNAcentral is "bacterial SSU rRNA". It matches the Rfam family "Bacterial small subunit ribosomal RNA", at positions 95 to 827 of the family's 1533-position model. The record is from RNAcentral.
CCGGCGCAAGGGUGCGUAACGCGUGAGCAACAUGCCCGUAUCAGGGGAAUAAUCCAGGGAAACUUGGUCUAAUACCCCAUAGUAAAUAUUAAAGGCAUCUUUAAUAUUUUAAAGCUUUGGUGGAUACGGAUUGGCUCGCGUGACAUUAGCUAGAUGGUAAGGUAACGGCUUACCAUGGCUACGAUGUCUAGGGGUUCUGAGAGGAAGAUCCCCCACACUGGAACUGAGACACGGUCCAGACUCCUACGGGAGGCAGCAGUGAGGAAUAUUGGACAAUGGAUGGAAAUCUGAUCCAGCCAUGCCGCGUGCAGGAAGACGGCCCUAUGGGUUGUAAACUGCUUUUAUAUGGGAGCAAUAAGGCCUACGUGUAGGUUGAUGAGAGUACCAUAUGAAUAAGCACCGGCUAACUCCGUGCCAGCAGCCGCGGUAAUACGGAGGGUGCAAGCGUUAUCCGGAUUUAUUGGGUUUAAAGGGUGCGUAGGCGGUUUGAUAAGUCAGCGGUGAAAUAUUUCAGCUUAACUGGAAGGGUGCCGUUGAUACUGUCAGGCUUGAAUUUAGUUGCUGUGGGUGGAAUGUGUGGUGUAGCGGUGAAAUGCAUAGAUAUCACACAGAAUAUCGAUUGCGAAGGCAGCUCACAAAGCUAAAAUUGACGCUGAUGCACGAAAGUGUGGGGAUCAAACAGGAUUAGAUACCCUGGUAGUCCACACUGUAAACGAUGAUAACUCGCUGUCGGC